GUCUAAGGCCAUACCACCCUGAAUACACCCGAUCUCAUCUGAACUUGGAAGCUGAGCAGGGUUGGGCCUGGUUAGUACUUAGAUGGGAAAACAGAAUACUUCACAGU
RNAcentral lists this ribosomal RNA (107 nucleotides) under Bos taurus (domestic cattle). The record is from RNAcentral. Lineage: Eukaryota; Metazoa; Chordata; Mammalia; Artiodactyla; Bovidae. RNAcentral also lists the same sequence under 3 other names.